CAGUCGCCGCGGGAAUACGUAGGGUGCGAGCGUUAAUCGGAAUUACUGGGCGUAAAGCGUGCGCAGGCGGUUUUGUAAGACAGAGGUGAAAUCCCCGGGCUCAACCUGGGAACUGCCUUUGUGACUGCAAGGCUAGAGUACGGCAGAGGGGGAUGGAAUUCCGCGUGUAGCAGUGAAAUGCGUAGAUAUGCGGAGGAACACCGAUGGCGAAGGCAAUCCCCUGGGCCUGUACUGACGCUCAUGCACGAAAGCGUGGGUAGCAAACAGGAUUAGAUACCCCAGUAGUCCCUGUCUCUUAUAC
This 301-nucleotide ribosomal RNA is filed under the name uncultured bacterium. Its description in RNAcentral is "partial 16S ribosomal RNA". It matches the Rfam family "Bacterial small subunit ribosomal RNA", at positions 509 to 807 of the family's 1533-position model. The record is from RNAcentral.